Molecule: long non-coding RNA, 314 nt
Organism: Eriocheir sinensis (Chinese mitten crab)
Lineage: Eukaryota; Metazoa; Arthropoda; Malacostraca; Decapoda; Varunidae
Exons: 6
Source: RefSeq, a predicted model, not a curated record
GGUUAGGUUAGGUUAAGUUAGGUUGGUUGUAUGGUUAGGUUAGGUUAAGUUAGGUUGGUUGUAUGGUUAGGUUAGGUUAAGUUAGGUUGGUGGUAUGGUUAGGUUAGGUUAAGUUAGGUUGGUUGUACAGUUAGGUUAGGUUAAGUUAGGUUGGUGGUAUGGUUAGGUUAGGUUAAGUUAGGUUGGUUGUACAGUUAGGUUAGGUUAAGUUAGGUUGGUGGUAUGGUUAGGUUAGGUUAAGUUAGGUUGGUUGUACAGUUAGGUUAGGUUAAGUUAGGUUGGUUGUACAGUUAGGUUAGGUUAAGUUAGGUUGG